AACGCUAGCUACAGGCUUAACACAUGCAAGUCGCGGGGCAGCAUGAGAGAUGCUUGCAUCUUUUGAUGGCGACCGGCGCACGGGUGAGUAACGCGUAUCCAACCUGCCCCUUUCCCCGGCACAGCCCGUAGAAAUGCGGAUUAAUGCCGGAUGCGGUCGUGUGACGGCAUCAGAGCACGACGAAAGGAUUUGUCCGGAAAGGGAUGGGGAUGCGUCCGAUUAGCUAGACGGCGGGGUAAAGGCCCACCGUGGCGACGAUCGGUAGGGGCCCUGAGAGGGGAAUCCCCCACAUUGGGACUGAGACACGGCCCAAACUCCUACGGGAGGCAGCAGUGAGGAAUAUUGGUCAAUGGGCGGAAGCCUGAACCAGCCAAGUAGCGUGAGGGAUGAAGGCCCUAUGGGUUGUAAACCUCUUUUGUGCGGGGAUAAAGUGAGGGACGUGUCCCUCAUUGCAGGUACCGCACGAAUAAGGACCGGCUAAUUCCGUGCCAGCAGCCGCGGUAAUACGGAAGGUCCGGGCGUUAUCCGGAUUUAUUGGGUUUAAAGGGAGCGCAGGCCGUCCUUUAAGCGUGCUGUGAAAUGCCGCGGCUCAACCGUGGCACUGCAGCGCGAACUGGAGGACUUGAGUACGCACGAGGUAAGCGGAAUUCGUGGUGUAGCGGUGAAAUGCUUAGAUAUCACGAAGAACUCCGAUUG
RNAcentral lists this ribosomal RNA (696 nucleotides) under uncultured Bacteroides sp. RNAcentral's name for it is "bacterial SSU rRNA". It matches the Rfam family "Bacterial small subunit ribosomal RNA", at positions 32 to 715 of the family's 1533-position model. The record is from RNAcentral. Lineage: Bacteria; Pseudomonadati; Bacteroidota; Bacteroidia; Bacteroidales; Bacteroidaceae.